CUACGGGGUGCUGCAGGCGAGAAAACUUUGCAAUGUGCGAAAGCACGACAAGGUUAAUCCGAGUGGUUUCUGCUAAAGGAACCUUUUGACAGUCCUAGAAACACUGUUGAAUAAGGGGUGGGCAAGUUCUGGUGUCAGCCGCCGCGGUAAAACCAGCACCUCAAGUGGUAAGGAUGAUUAUUGGGCCUAAAGCAUCCGUAGCCGGCUCUGUAAGUUUUCGGUUAAAUCUGUACGCUCAACGUACAGGCUGCCGGGAAUACUGCAGAGCUAGGGAGUGGGAGAGGUAGACGGUACUCGGUAGGAAGGGGUAAAAUCCUUUGAUCUAUUGAUGACCACCUGUGGCGAAGGCGGUCUACCAGAACACGUCCGACGGUGAGGGAUGAAAGCUGGGGGAGCAAACCGGAUUAGAUACCCCGGUAGUC
Molecule: ribosomal RNA, 422 nt
Filed under: uncultured archaeon
Lineage: Archaea
Description: partial 16S ribosomal RNA
Rfam family: Archaeal small subunit ribosomal RNA
Source: RNAcentral